This 450-nucleotide ribosomal RNA is filed under the name uncultured Gigaspora. Its description in RNAcentral is "SSU rRNA". It matches the Rfam family "Eukaryotic small subunit ribosomal RNA", at positions 569 to 1027 of the family's 1831-position model. Lineage: Eukaryota; Fungi; Glomeromycota; Glomeromycetes; Diversisporales; Gigasporaceae. The record is from RNAcentral.
AGCAGCCGCGGUAAUUCCAGCUCCAAUAGCGUAUAUUAAAGUUGUUGCAGUUAAAAAGCUCGUAGUUGAAUUUCGGGGUUCUACCGUUGGUCGGGCAAUUGUCUGUACUGGCGUGUAGAAUUUCUACCUUCUGGGGAACCAUCAUGUUAUUAAUUUAGCGUGGUGGGAAACCAGGACCUUUACCUUGAAAAAUUAGAGUGUUCAAAGCAGGCUUACGUCUGAAUACAUUAGCAUGGAAUAAUAAAAUAGGACGGUGGUCCUGUUUUGUUGGUUUCUGAAUCACCGUAAUGAUUAAUAGGGAUAGUUGGGGGCAUUAGUAUUCAAUUGUCAGAGGUGAAAUUCUUGGAUUUAUUGAAGACUAACUUCUGCGAAAGCAUUUGCCAAGGAUGUUUUCAUUAAUCAAGAACGAAAGUUAGGGGAUCGAAGACGAUCAGAUACCGUCGUAGUCUU